Molecule: ribosomal RNA, 468 nt
Filed under: uncultured bacterium
Lineage: Bacteria
Description: partial 16S ribosomal RNA
Rfam family: Bacterial small subunit ribosomal RNA
Source: RNAcentral
GACGAACGCUGGCGGCGUGCUUAACACAUGCAAGUCGAACGGAAAGGCCCUGCUUUUGUGGGGUGCUCGAGUGGCGAACGGGUGAGUAACACGUGAGUAACCUGCCCUUGACUUUGGGAUAACUUCAGGAAACUGGGGCUAAUACCGGAUAGGAGCUCCUGCUGCAUGGUGGGGGUUGGAAAGUUUCGGCGGUUGGGGAUGGACUCGCGGCUUAUCAGCUUGUUGGUGGGGUAGUGGCUUACCAAGGCUUUGACGGGUAGCCGGCCUGAGAGGGUGACCGGCAACAUUGGGACUGAGAUACGGCCCAGACUCCUACGGGAGGCAGAAGUGGGGAAUAUUGAAAAAGGGGCGGAAGCCGGAUGCAGCAACGCCGCGUGCGGGAUGACGGCCUUCGGGUUGUAAACCGCUUUCGCCUGUGACGAAGCGUGAGUGACGGUAAUGGGUAAAGAAGCACCGGCUAACUACGUG